GACGAACGCUGGCGGCGUGCCUAAUACAUGCAAGUUGAGCGCUGAAGGUUGGUACUUGUACCAACUGGAUGAGCAGCGAACGGGUGAGUAACGCGUGGGGAAUCUGCCUUUGAGCGGGGGACAACAUUUGGAAACGAAUGCUAAUACCGCAUAAAAACUUUAAACACAAGUUUUAAGUUUGAAAGAUGCAAUUGCAUCACUCAAAGAUGAUCCCGCGUUGUAUUAGCUAGUUGGUGAGGUAAAGGCUCACCAAGGCGAUGAUACAUAGCCGACCUGAGAGGGUGAUCGGCCACAUUGGGACUGGGGCACGGCCCAAACUCCUACGGGAGGCAGCAGUAGGGAAUCUUCGGCAAUGGACGAAAGUCUGACCGAGCAACGCCGCGUGAGUGAAGGAGGUUUUCGGAUCGUAAAACUCUGUUGGUAGAGAAGAACGUUGGUGAGAGUGGAAAGCUCAUCAAGUGACGGUAACUACCCAGAAAGGGACGGCUAACUACGUG
Molecule: ribosomal RNA, 497 nt
Filed under: uncultured bacterium
Lineage: Bacteria
Description: partial 16S ribosomal RNA
Rfam family: Bacterial small subunit ribosomal RNA
Source: RNAcentral